Molecule: long non-coding RNA, 2003 nt
Filed under: Pongo abelii (Sumatran orangutan)
Lineage: Eukaryota; Metazoa; Chordata; Mammalia; Primates; Hominidae
Description: lincRNA
Source: RNAcentral
GAAAUGAUCCUUUCCAGGUAACAGCCGAGAAUAGGGGACUGCGGGACAUCUCCGCCUCUUCCUUGGCUCUGGGCCUUCUAUGUAAGGCGUUAGAGGACAAUCUUUGUUGGCUGGAUUUCUGUUCUUCCCCUAGAGAUAUCUGGUUCUUUGGAGGCCACUUGGGCAAUUGGGUUGACAAUCACUUACCUGAUACCUGCUUCCAAAACUAAUCCUAUUGAUGAAGGAUCUUCUUUCUGAGCAGUAAACCUGUGUUUAAUUAACCUUAUGCAAAUGAGCUUAAUUGCUUAUCAGUGGCUGUUGUCCAGAAGCACCUAGGGAUUCCUUCCCUCAGACAUUUUCAGCACCUACAUGAACCGCAAAGUUGGAAGCCAUUCAUCUAGGCAUGUGUUGUGUGCCUGUGGAGCCCUCGGCCCUGUGCUGAAGAUUGCAAGGAAGAGCAAGGUGUGACCCCUGCUGUGGACUUACUUUCAGUCUUAGGGCAACAGACACUUACAACCAAGAAUAACAAAGGGAGCCCUCGGAACAUCCUGGAACUCCAAGGCUUCGACCCCCAGCGCAAAGGACUCUAGAGACUGGCUUCCUGGCUGUACCGCGCAGCGGGACUCCCCGUCUGCACAGCUUCGGGGAGGCCCAGAGCGCGCCCCUACUCGCCGGCUGUGUCCAAGGCCCACCAAGACAACCCGCCACGAAACUUCCCGGCCCCCGCAGCCCAGGGCUCCCGGUCCCGAGCUGCUGGCCGGUGGCGCGGGGCCUGACGCCCGCCUUCGAGGAGCCGCAUGGACGGAGGCCUGCGUGUUAUUUCAUAGAGGCCGAAACGGAGACCCAGGAAAGAUAAAAGAAGGGCUCAACCCGGGACCCCCACUAGCCAGCCGAGGGCGAGAAAUGGAAGCCAAGGCUGAAUGAUUCCCAGUGCCGUGCGCUCUCUCCCACUCCAACCACACUCUCCUCCCCGCAGAAAGGGUGUUCUGCAGUUUGCAGCGUCGUCUGUAGCCCAAGCAGGAGGCGCGCUGUGGAAACUGAGGCCGCUGGGAGGCCUUGCCAACCGCGACCCGGACGUCGGACGCCCCAGCCGAGGCCUGGCGAGUCCUUAGCCCCUCUCGGACUAAAAUGGACCGAACAGAAAAUGCGGACCGGGCUCCCUCCUUUCGGGUAGCGGCGGGGCAGAAGGGAUGCCGUCUGGGACCGAGCUCUCCAAGUCCCGCCUUCCUUUCCAAGCCUGCCCUGCGGAGACCCACCUUACGCCCUGCGACCUCCGCCCCGCCGCAGCGCUCCCAGGCCAGGCCGGCGGUGCCCGCGCCAUCUAAAGGGACAAUUCUGGUUGAACCUGGGAUUCCCGGCAGGGCGCCCUGUCUGUGAGCGCCCCGGAGGUAACUUCCCCGGUGUGGCAGGUGUGGAAAUGGGCAUGGAUGAACCCUCGGCCCCUUCGAGCGCUUGAGGAAAGAGCCCGGGACUGCUGCACUAAGGACCGUGACGUAAUGCGCCUCCUCCAUCCCGGGCCCAAGGGAGGGUCCUAAACGCGGAGAGGGAGUGCCCUGUGGGGGAAACCUGAGUGUGUCUGGAGGGGACAGUGGAGAGGUUGAGUGCUUGCUGCUGCCCACCUGAGCAAGCCCGAUUCUGACCCUGGGAGUCCCAGAACCCGCGGGGCGGCUCCCACCCCCACCUGUUGCACAGUGUUCCGCCCGCCCCGCUCCGCCGGUGCACUCCCACCUCCGUAGCCCCAGAAGUGACAUCUUUUUAUUAUUAUUAUUAUUAUUAUUAUUAUUAUUAUUAUUAUUAAAACGAAAGUCACAGGUACAGGGUGGUCUCCCCAAACAGGCUCCAAGUGGUUGCCAUCUCGUGAGUCAGUUGUCGCCCUUUUAAAGUGCUGUUACAUCAAGAGGUUACAACAAAAAAUAGACAAAGCAAAAUCCAAAGGGGAAUGCAAAAUGGGACUGGAAGUGGGUCCAGGAGAAGGAAGCAAAAAUAACUUACAGCAUGAAUAAAUUAAAGUGAACCUAAUACUG